UCAUUGCCCUAUUCUGUUCCUCAUUACCUUAAUUCUAAAUGAUGUUUUGAUUGAAUGCAUGGUUAAUUCUAGGUUCAUUUUACCCUACCGCUCCAAUUCCCAAAGCAACAACCAAUUCUGGUGCUUCAAAGUUCCCAGCAUUUCAGCUCUGUUGGUGGUGUGCCCAUCAAGUCACCCCUUUUGACCGAUUUCCCAUGGAGUCCCAGAUGGGAACCGUCAGAAAUGGCUGAGCGGAUGUUUGAUUUCCUGGUGGAAGAAUGUUUGAACUUCAAGAAGUACUGUAACGAGAGUCAGCUUCAGCAACGCUAGGAGCAGUGCCUUGGUGUUCUAUUCCUUGAGAGAUCAGACUUUGUAAAUACAGGAAAACCAUUGUUCAUAACCUGUUGGGUUGGCUCAAAACGCUUGGGAUGCAAUGAUUUUUCUUUUGUCAGAACUGCUUACAACGGAACUCGAAAAACAGCCUGACUUGUGAUUUUAAUGCUUUUUCUCUCAGCUCUUUCAAGAGAAAGAAUCGGAAUUUUGUGGUGUUGAA
This is a long non-coding RNA of Diospyros lotus (date-plum), 532 nucleotides long. RefSeq lists it as uncharacterized. The record is from RefSeq and is a predicted model, not a curated record. The transcript has 3 exons. Lineage: Eukaryota; Viridiplantae; Streptophyta; Magnoliopsida; Ericales; Ebenaceae.